RNAcentral lists this ribosomal RNA (447 nucleotides) under uncultured bacterium. Its description in RNAcentral is "partial 16S ribosomal RNA". It matches the Rfam family "Bacterial small subunit ribosomal RNA", at positions 29 to 523 of the family's 1533-position model. The record is from RNAcentral.
AACGAACGCUGGCGGCAGGCUGAACACAUGCAAGUCGAGCGCCCCGCAAGGGGAGCGGCAGACGGGUGAGUAACGCGUGGGAAUCUACCCAUCCCUACGGAAUAGCUCCGGGAAACUGGAAGUAAUACCGUAUACGCCCUACGGGGGAAAGAUUUAUCGGGGAUGGAUGAGCCCGCGUUGGAUUAGCUAGUUGGUGGGGUAAAGGCCUACCAAGGCGACGAUCCAUAGCUGGUCUGAGAGGAUGAUCAGCCACAUUGGGACUGAGACACGGCCCAAACUCCUACGGGAGGCAGCAGUGGGGAAUAUUGGACAAUGGGGGCAACCCUGAUCCAGCCAUGCCGCGUGAGUGAUGAAGGCCUUAGGGUUGUAAAGCUCUUUCACCGGGGAAGAUAAUGACGGUACCCGGAGAAGAAGCCCCGGCUAACUUCGUGCCAGCCGCCGCAGUAA